GUUUGAGGCAUUUUCAUUUCCUUGAGCUCUUUUCCUAGCACCUAAUAACAUGGCCUCUAAAAGGGUAUCUUCGAAAGUUCAGGCGGCAGUGGUUGAAUAUUCUCUCUCCGUCAUAGAAGGUGGUGGUGUAGGGUGGAAGGGCUCUUCUAUAAAGAAGAACCAAAGGUGAAAACGAUGAAAGAAGACACAUAACAAAUGCUUUGCAAUUACACUCAGCCCAUCAUCAUAGAUAAGGUGCAGAACUGAGAGAGUGUGAUCAUUGCAUUGCGGGGAAUUGAGGGUAGCGGUCCGAAUUACCUUAAAAAAAUUAUUGGUUUUGUAUCAUGUUGUUUUUUUACGUAUUCACCAUUGAUUUUCUCUUUGUUUUUUUAUUUUAAUUCCAAUUAUGUUUAUGUUAUGACUUAUGAUCUAUGAUGGAAAUAUCAAACAUCGAAUGUAAGAGAUGCAUACGAGGUUGCUGGAAAAUGGGGAUUAUGGAAGUUAAGUUUGGGGAGUUAAUGCAGCUGGCAUGCAUCACUUACAC
Molecule: long non-coding RNA, 523 nt
Filed under: Lupinus angustifolius (narrow-leaved blue lupine)
Lineage: Eukaryota; Viridiplantae; Streptophyta; Magnoliopsida; Fabales; Fabaceae
Description: long non-coding RNA (LANG_LNC000708)
Source: RNAcentral